UACGGAGGAUCCAAGCGUUAUCCGGAAUCAUUGGGUUUAAAGGGUCCGUAGGUGGAUAAUUAAGUCAGAGGUGAAAGCUAUGAGCUUAACUUAUAAAUUGCCUUUGAUACUGAUAGUCUUGAAUUAGGUUGAGGUUAGCGGAAUGUGGCAUGUAGCGGUGAAAUGCAUAGAUAUGCCAUAGAACACCAAUUGCGAAGGCAGCUUACUAACAUGUAACUGACGCUGAGGGACGAAAGCGUGGGGAGCGAACAGG
RNAcentral lists this ribosomal RNA (253 nucleotides) under uncultured bacterium. Its description in RNAcentral is "partial 16S ribosomal RNA". It matches the Rfam family "Bacterial small subunit ribosomal RNA", at positions 524 to 776 of the family's 1533-position model. The record is from RNAcentral.